This 372-nucleotide ribosomal RNA is filed under the name uncultured organism. RNAcentral describes it as "partial 16S ribosomal RNA". It matches the Rfam family "Bacterial small subunit ribosomal RNA", at positions 527 to 896 of the family's 1533-position model. The record is from RNAcentral.
GUAGGUGGCAAGCGUUGUCCGGAAUUAUUGGGCGUAAAGCGCGCGCAGGCGGUCCUUUAAGUCUGAUGUGAAAGCCCACGGCUCAACCGUGGAGGGUCAUUGGAAACUGGGGGACUUGAGUACAGAAGAGGAAAGCGGAAUUCCAAGUGUAGCGGUGAAAUGCGUAGAGAUUUGGAGGAACACCAGUGGCGAAGGCGGCUUUCUGGUCUGUAACUGACGCUGAGGCGCGAAAGCGUGGGGAGCAAACAGGGAUUAGAUACCCUGGUAGUCCACGCCGUAAACGAUGAGUGCUAAGUGUUAGGGGGUUUCCCGCCCCUUAGUGCUGCAGCUAACGCAUUAAGCACUCCGCCUGGGGGGUACGCCGCAAGGCUG